UGACCCAUCCCCCAAUCCCGAUUCAGCCGCCGCCAACCACACGUGGUAUCCUCCUUGAUUUCCCCUCCUGCCCAAUCCUGUGGAGCCUCCUCGCUUGACAGUGCCCGAGGCCACCUCCUCUGCUCGAUCCCAGGGGAAUCACAAGUAGCUCAUCCCCGGCAACCAGAUCGCUGGACGUGUCUAGCUCCCAGCAGACGCAAGCGCUCGCCCCGAACUCCUUGAUUCGCCGAGCACGAGCACCACCUCAUGAACGCCUCUUCGGUCGGCCGCCCUGCAGGAGCUUCAUCUGCGCCACCGUCCGGCCGUCGGACCAGCAUGUCCCCAGCUCAUGUCUUUUUUCCUUCUUGGUUCUCCUUCCUCCUACCCUUCUUCCUCCCCUUCUCUCAUGUCUCUCUUGCUCUAUUGCAUCAGGUUCCAGCCAGGGAGUAUGCCAUGAAUGGCUGGCCUUAAGCUUGUGUGGUGAGUCCCUCAAUCACCGGGAACGAGACCAAUGCCUCAAGAUCCGGCGCCCCAAGGCCUCGAUCCGGUUCGUCCCCGUCGCCUUCGGCCAGGACCUCAUCACCCUCGCCGUCCCCGUGUAGUUCUUGCCGGAUCACGCCUCUGCUUCGCCACUGACCAUCGACCCCGAGCCCCUGGUGAGCGCCCUGCCUACAACCCGCUUUGCUUCAUCGCUUGCACGCGAGACGAGCCAGCCCCCCGUAGCUCAUUUGCAUGCACGCACGCACGCACGCACCAACACACAUUCCCGCACGCCCGCAGCUGCUCUGCAUCGUUGUGAAGGCUUGGCCUUGCCCAGCUUAAGAAGCAGCGUCUAGCCUCUAAACACUCGCUCACAGCAAGCCUAGUUGGCUAGCAAGCCAGUCUUCCUUCCAAGAGAUAGUGGGUUCGAUUCCUAGUGAGCACACAUUUUACUCUAUUUUGGUAUUUUUUUUCCUAGAUUUGUUCCCCAUUUAGGGGAUACUAAGGUCCUGUUUCAUACUACUUUGGUCCUUAAAAUUCAUCUUUCUUCCACAAAAGACAAGCCAAACGAGGUAACUCCACGAUAUGCUGCUCCAUAAAAAAACUAGAAUGUGGGGUACAACUUCAAAGUUUUUAUGAAGCUCAAGAGGGUGCUUCAAAUAACUCUAAAAGUUGGAGUUGGGGGAAAAUUACCCACCACUGCCACCAGUAAGUGGAUACCCCUUCAUUUCUUUCUCCUCAACCAAUCAAAUAGAUUUUUUCCACCAAAAUUUCUAUUCUUGAAGCUGGAGCUACAUAGAAGCCAAACAUUCUCUUGAUAGUGCUAUAGCUUUUGUAUGAAACUACUCUAAAGUGAAUUUGAUGAAGUGAAACUGGUUUUGGUGAAUUGAAGCAGUCCUAAACAGGCCCUAAGAAAUGGAUUUAUGUUAGGACUCGAGCCCCAGUCGGAGAGGCUAGUACCUAGCGUGUCCAUUCAAGAGGUUUGGGAUCGAAACCCAAAGCCACCCCUAUUUUUUUUUUUCUUGUUCUGCUAUAUUUGUUAUUCCCUCUCGUUUUGCACUCAGUCAGUUCCUUGGGCCGAUUUCAGCCUUGGGUCGUUACACUACGUUGCAAUUCAGUCCAUGUAUAUUUCUUUCCACCUACAGUUUGCUAUUUGUUUCUUUAGAAAAACCAUUGAUUUUAAAAUGCUUGUACUGUGGUGAAUAACUUGUGUUGAUUCUUGUUUCCGGUUUGCUUCGUCUCGAUAGAGUUCCGUAAGCAUGUCGGAAUGUGAUGAUCCAUUCGACUACAUCGAUUCGUCUGCUUCACGGAGUCGUUCUUCUUCCAAGCGGGAUCAUAGGCANNNNN
Molecule: long non-coding RNA, 1806 nt
Filed under: Hordeum vulgare
Lineage: Eukaryota; Viridiplantae; Streptophyta; Magnoliopsida; Poales; Poaceae
Description: long non-coding RNA (HVUL_LNC001113)
Source: RNAcentral